AAGUCAUAUUGAGGGCACUUACGGAUCAGUUCCUGGAAUCUGGUCCAGGCUGCACACAAAUUCUCUCCUGGUUGUUGAGUAAAGUUGGUAAUUUCAUUUACCAACUU
Small nucleolar RNA from Gastrolobium bilobum, 107 nucleotides. The record is from RefSeq and is a predicted model, not a curated record. Lineage: Eukaryota; Viridiplantae; Streptophyta; Magnoliopsida; Fabales; Fabaceae.